GAUGAAGAACGUUGCAAAAUGCGAUAAGUAAUGUGAAUUGCAGAAUUCAGUGAAUCAUCGAAUCUUUGAACGCACAUUGCGCCCGCUGGUAUUCCGGCGGGCAUGCCUGUUCGAGCGUCAUUUCAACCCUCAAGCCCCCGGGUUUGGUGUUGGGGAUCGGCUCUGCCCUUCUGGGCGGUGCCGCCCCCGAAAUACAUUGGCGGUCUCGCUGCAGCCUCCAUUGCGUAGUAGCUAACACCUCGCAACUGGAACGCGGCGCGGCCAUGCCGUAAAACCCCAACUUCUGAAUGUUGACCUCGGAUCAGGUAGGAAUACCCGCUGAACUUAAGCAUAUCAAUAAGCGGAGGA
RNAcentral lists this unclassified non-coding RNA (348 nucleotides) under soil metagenome. Its description in RNAcentral is "partial contains 5.8S ribosomal RNA, internal transcribed spacer 2, and large subunit ribosomal RNA". The stretch from base 1 to 120 matches the Rfam family "5.8S ribosomal RNA", at positions 35 to 154 of the family's 154-position model. The record is from RNAcentral.